Molecule: ribosomal RNA, 406 nt
Filed under: uncultured bacterium
Lineage: Bacteria
Description: partial 16S ribosomal RNA
Rfam family: Bacterial small subunit ribosomal RNA
Source: RNAcentral
AUUGAACGCUGGCGGCAGGCCUAACACAUGCAAGUCGAACGAGCGGCGGACGGGUGAGUAAUGUAUGGGGAACUGCCUGAUAGAGGGGGAUAACUACUGGAAACGGUAGCUAAUACCGCAUCCUAUCGGAUGAGCCCAUAUGGGAUUAGCUAGUAGGUGGGGUAAAGGCUCACCUAGGCGACGAUCCCUAGCUGGUCUGAGAGGAUGAUCAGACACACUGGAACUGAGACACGGCCCAGACUCCUACGGGAGGCAGCAGUGGGGAAUAUUGCACAAUGGGCGCAAGCCUGAUGCAGCCAUGCCGCGUGUAUGAAGAAGGCCUUAGGGUUGUAAAGUACUUUCAGCGGGGAGGCGUUACCCGCAGAAGAAGCACCGGCUAACUCCGUGCCAGCAGCCGCGGUAAUAC